Molecule: long non-coding RNA, 2426 nt
Organism: Acinonyx jubatus (cheetah)
Lineage: Eukaryota; Metazoa; Chordata; Mammalia; Carnivora; Felidae
Exons: 3
Source: RefSeq, a predicted model, not a curated record
AGAAGAGAUCAAAAGACUAACACAAGUGAGCAUCGUAUAACAUGUCUAUACAUCACGCCAGAAAGCCCAACACCUGGCUGUGUUGGAAAGGCUGAGAGGACCCUGCGAUGACCAAGGCCAUUUGAAAUGCCCUGGUAUGAGAGGCAGAGGCAUCCCUGAGAAGUUCCACAGUGGUGGGGUCCUCUGUAAUCAGGUCCGAUGACUCAAAGGAGAAAGCAUGUAGCUCCAGGAGCUUCUGGCAGCCACCUGGCUUCUCUGAAGGAAGCCUAUCGGAGGACAAAGCCAGCAAAUGACACUCAGCGCAGGACCUUCUCAACAUCACAUCAUCACCAAGAGAAGGACAAAUCAGAAGCCAAUUCAUUGAGUAGCGAUGUCAGUCUUCCCUAAACAAUUCUGAAGGAGCAGCAAAAGAGUUCCAUGGCACAAAUAGAGCAAGACAUACUCUUUGCUCUUCUGUCCCCUAAUUCAGUGACCAUUGCCAUUCUCCUCUCCCCCCCCCCACUUUCUCUCCACUGGCCCAGCUCUCCCGUACACCCUACCCCUCACCCUGGGCUGCGAAACAGAAGCCUGACAGGUGCCAGGGCAAGUCAGAGCCUCAGAAGGCGGAGUGGACAGGAGGAUAAGGAAUGUCAAUAAGUUUAGAUUUCAUCCUGGUCUCUGCCUCACUCUUUACAAAGGAUCCUCCUCAAAGAGGGCAUCUUUGCAACCUCCCCAUUUACUUUAUGGAAAAGUACAAAGAAGAACCAAUCAUGGAUUUCUUUGAUCAUCCCCUCUUGCAAACAUCAGCCAGAAUCCAGUCCUUUGUCAUGAGAUCCCCCAAGUUCAAGGCAGAGUGGGACAGUGAUACACACGAGGUCAGGGGCUACAUUGUGCCCCGGUUGGCCCAAGGACACAGUGAGUCAAGUGAUCGCCAUGAUCCCUGAAGACACAGGUCAGGAGGAGGGGCUCUGGAGGUGAGCCAUAUGGAUUCAAACCUGGCUCUGUCAUCUUUGCUGUGUGACCUUGGACAAGUUAUUGACCUAUCAAUAGGUCAAUAGUUUCCUUGCCUGUGAGACAAUGAUAAUAGCUAUCUGGCUGGUGUGAGAAUUAACAAGUUAAUGCACAUAAAUGGCUUAGAACAGUUCCUGGCACACAGUGAAUCCUCAGUCAACAUUAACCGUAAUUUGUGAAGAUUCUGGUCUGUGGCUCUUGGGUAUUGACUCAGGGAGGCAGCUAGUAGGUGGGGAGCAAGGUGACCCCAUAAACUAGUACUAAAAUGAGAUCUGAGGUUGAUAUACCAUCUUCCACUGUUUAAGCACUUUUGGGUGCCCUCAAAAGUAUCCUGAGACAAGGGUUGGGUGCAGGUAGUUUAUUUAGGGGUGUCAGGAAACAGGGAGGGGGGUGAUGGAGCAGGGAAGAUGGAGAAGCCUAUAUAAGCAUUAUCAAAGUGGGUAAUGGGAAUUCAACUCGUCCAGGACCUUCUGAGAAGUAUGUGGGAGGCCUCUGUACUGAACUGAAUAGUGUUCCCCCAAAACUCAUGUUCACCCAUAACCUCAGAAUAUGACCUUAGUUGGAAGUAGAUCUUUGCAUAUGUAAUUGCUUCAGUUAAGAUGAGGUCAUACUGGAGUGGGGGGGGGGGGCGCUAAAUCCAGUGACUAGUGUCCUUUUAGAAAGGUUAUGUAAAAAGCACAUGGAGAGAAGAAUGUGCCACGUGAAGACAGAGGCAGAGAUUGGAGAGUUGCAUCUAGAAGCCCAGAAACACUAAGGACUUCGGGAAGCCACCAGAAGGGAGAGAGGCAUGGGAACACUCCUCCCUCAGAACCUCCAAGAGAGAAUCAACCCCGCCAACACCUCGAUCUUGAACUUCUGGCCUCUAGAACUACAGGGCACUAAUUUUCUAUUGUGUUAAGCCCCUCAGUUUAUGGAAAUUCAUUCUGGCAACCACAGGAAACUAAUACAGCCUCCCAUAGCUGCCCGGCCACAGGGCAGGAGCAAGGCAUCUCUGCCCAAGCCUGCAGUGCCCCCCUGGUUGAGUGGGGUUGACCAUUUUCCUGCACUUCAGGGAUAUACUUGCAAAAGGGCCAGGGGGGUGCCAAGAUACUGGAAAAGUCCCCGGCACAGAUGCGGAAGGAUCCCCAGAGCUGACUGGAGCAGGAAUGCCUCAGAGCGGGGGUGAAUCUGAGCUGGCAGAGAACUGGGGGCUGUGGGUCAAAAUCAGAGGGGUCCAAGGGGAUGUGACGCAAGUCCCAGAGAUGUCUGCUACAGUCACCACCAUGGCCAGGGGGGUGUGGGGGGCUGUCCCUCCAUGUUUACUCACACUUCCUGCUGGGAGUUUCCCAAGAUUGCCCAGGGUUACUUUCAUUCAUUCAUUAAUUCAUUUAUUCAUUCAUUCAUCCGGCACACACUUUCUAAGCUCCCGCUCUGGAUUAGGUCCAGGAAGACACCAA